RNAcentral lists this ribosomal RNA (920 nucleotides) under uncultured archaeon. Its description in RNAcentral is "bacterial SSU rRNA". It matches the Rfam family "Archaeal small subunit ribosomal RNA", at positions 1 to 922 of the family's 1478-position model. The record is from RNAcentral.
UUCCGGUUGAUCCUGCCGGAGGUUACUGCUAUCGGUAUUCGACUAAGCCAUGCGAGUUAAAUGUUCUUCGUGAACAUAGCGAACUGCUCAGUAACACGUGGAUAACCUGCCCUUAGGUUCGGCAUAACUCCGGGAAACUGGAGAUAAUUCCGAAUAAACCAUUCCUGCUGGAAUGCUUUUUGGUUCAAAGACUUCGGUUGCCUAAGGAUGGAUCUGCGGUCUAUCAGGUAGUAGUGGGUGUAAGGUACCUACUAGCCUACGACGGAUAUGGGUUGUGAGAGCAAGAGCCCAGAGAUGGAUUCUGAGACAUGAAUCCAGGCCCUACGGGGCGCAGCAGGCGCGAAAACUUUACAAUGCGGGAAACCGCGAUAAGGGGAUACCGAGUGCCAGCAUAUUAUGUUGGCUGUCCACAUGUGUAAACGGCAUGUGUUAGCAAGGGCCGGGCAAGACCGGUGCCAGCCGCCGCGGUAACACCGGCGGCCCGAGUGGUAAUCACUUUUAUUGGGUCUAAAGGGUCCGUAGCCGGUUUGAUCAGUUCUUCGGGAAAUCUGACAGCUCAACUGUUAGGCUUCCGGGGAAUACUGUCAGACUUGGGACCGGGAGAGGUAAGAGGUACUACAGGGGUAGGAGUGAAAUCUUGUAAUCCCUGUGGGACCACCAGUGGCGAAGGCGUCUUACCAGAACGGGUCCGACGGUGAGGGACGAAAGCUGGGGGCACGAACCGGAUUAGAUACCCGGGUAGUCCCAGCCGUAAACGAUGUUCGCUAGGUGUCAGGGACGGUGCGACCGUUUCUGGUGCCGUAGGGAAGCCGUGAAGCGAACCACCUGGGAAGUACGGCCGCAAGGCUGAAACUUAAAGGAAUUGGCGGGGGAGCACUACAACGGGUGGAGCCUGCGGUUUAAUUGGAUUCAACGCCGGG